GACGAACGCUGGCGGCGUGGAUUAGGCAUGCAAGUCGAACGGUAUCAUCCUUUCGGGGGUGAGAGAGUGGCGAACUGGUGAGUAACACGUAGGUUAUCUACCCUCAAGACGGGGACAACCCAGGGAAACUUGGGCUAAUACCGGAUGUGAGCAACUUUUAGUUGUUUGAAAGGUGGCGUAAGCUGUCGCUUGGGGAUGAGCCUGCGUCCUAUUAGUUAGUUGGUGAGGUAACGGCUCACCUAGGCAAUGAUAGGUAGGCGGCCUUAACGGGUGGUCGCCCACACUGGGAUUGAGAUACGGCCCAGACUCCUACGGGAGGCAGCAGUCGAGAAUAGUCUACAAUGGUCGGAAGACUGAUAGUGCGACGCCGCGUGAACGAUGAAUCCCUUCGGGGUGUAAAGUUCUUUUAUAUGUGAGCAGUGCUUCUUAUAUUAACAGUAUGGGGAGAGAGAUAUUAGCAUAUGAAUAAGCAACGGCUAACUCCGUGCCAGCAGCCGACGGUAACUCG
RNAcentral lists this ribosomal RNA (508 nucleotides) under uncultured bacterium. Its description in RNAcentral is "bacterial SSU rRNA". It matches the Rfam family "Bacterial small subunit ribosomal RNA", at positions 28 to 527 of the family's 1533-position model. The record is from RNAcentral.